UUCACCCAAAAGAAGAACAAGUCCUCACUCUCAAAUAUUUCUCUCUCUAGAAAGUUUGAAGAAGAAGGAUUCAACCUACGGUUUCAAGUCAAGUCUCAAUUUACCCAUUGAAGAUAAUCAAUUGGCUUCAGGGGUCCGACAUUCAGGUGUCUCAGUUUGGUGGCUAGUGAUUGAUUACGAAGUUCCUGAACUUUAGUGAAUUAUCAAGCUCCAAAGACGGAUUUUAAUUGUUUCAGUUUUCUUUCUUAUUCUAGUUUUGGACAUGAUGUAUGAGCUAGGCCCAAUUUCAUUCUAUUAUACUAGAUGGCUAAUGAGACAAGUGUUUUAGGCUUCCUCUUUACUUUAUAAAACUAUUGGACAUGAAAUGUUGCCUUUA
Long non-coding RNA from Solanum pennellii, 376 nucleotides. RefSeq lists it as uncharacterized. The record is from RefSeq and is a predicted model, not a curated record. The transcript is spliced from 2 exons. Lineage: Eukaryota; Viridiplantae; Streptophyta; Magnoliopsida; Solanales; Solanaceae.